This is a long non-coding RNA of Trifolium pratense (red clover), 258 nucleotides long. RefSeq lists it as uncharacterized. The record is from RefSeq and is a predicted model, not a curated record. The transcript is spliced from 3 exons. Lineage: Eukaryota; Viridiplantae; Streptophyta; Magnoliopsida; Fabales; Fabaceae.
ACUCAACCACAUCACCAAAUAUUUUGAGAAAAUAUGAUUGUAGGGUCGGGUCAGAACGAGAAUACGACCAUUUUUAGCAUUCCAAGACCUCUGGCCUGUUGUCAAACUUUCCCUUUCAGCUGGUGCCAUGUUGUGUCUUGAGCUAUGGUAUCACUUGGUUUCAUGGCUGCAGUGAGCGUUCGAGUAUCAAACGAGCUUGGUAAAGGAAGCGCCAAAGCCGCAAAGUUCUCAAUCGUUGUCACAGUGCUUACAUCGUUG